RNAcentral lists this ribosomal RNA (253 nucleotides) under uncultured bacterium. RNAcentral describes it as "partial 16S ribosomal RNA". It matches the Rfam family "Bacterial small subunit ribosomal RNA", at positions 524 to 776 of the family's 1533-position model. The record is from RNAcentral.
UACGGAGGGGGCUAGCGUUGUUCGGAAUUCCUGGGCGUAAGGCGCGCGUAGGCGGCUUUGUAAGUUCGGGGUGAAAGCCCGGGGCUCAACUCCGGAAUUGCCUUUAAGACUGCAUCGCUAGAAUCGUGGAGAGGUAAGUGGAAUUCCGAGUGUAGAGGUGAAAUUCGUAGAUAUUCGGAAGAACACCAGUGGCGAAGGCGACUUACUGGACACGUAUUGACGCUGAGGUGCGAAAGCGUGGGGAGCAAACAGG